UUGAUUCUGGCUCAGGACGAACGCUGGCGGCGUGCUUAACACAUGCAAGUCGAACGGGGUGUUUAUUUCGGUAAACAUCAAGUGGCGAACGGGUGAGUAACGCGUAAGCAAUCUACCUUCAAGAUGGGGACAACACUUCGAAAGGGGUGCUAAUACCGAAUGAAUGUAAGAGUAUCGCAUGAGACACUUACUAAAGGAGGCCUCUGAAAAUGCUUCCGCUUGAAGAUGAGCUUGCGUCUGAUUAGCUAGUUGGUGAGGGUAAAGGCCCACCAAGGCGACGAUCAGUAGCCGGUCUGAGAGGAUGAACGGCCACAUUGGGACUGAGACACGGCCCAGACUCCUACGGGAGGCAGCAGUGGGGAAUCUUCCGCAAUGGGCGAAAGCCUGACGGAGCAACGCCGCGUGAACGAUGAAGGUCUUAGGAUCGUAAAGUUCUGUUGUUAGGGACGAAGGGUAAGAAUCAUAAUAAGGUUUUUAUUUGACGGUACCUAACGAGGAAGCCACGGCUAACUACGUGCCAGCAGCCGCGGUAAUACGUAGGCGGCAAGCGUUGUCCGGAAUUAUUGGGCGUAAAGGGAGCGCAGGCGGGAAACUAAGCGGAUCUUAAAAGUGCGGGGCUCAACCCCGUGAUGGGGUCCGAACUGGUUUUCUUGAGUGCAGGAGAGGAAAGCGGAAUUCCCAGUGUAGCGGUGAAAUGCGUAGAUAUUGGGAAGAACACCAGUGGCGAAGGCGGCUUUCUGGACUGUAACUGACGCUGAGGCUCGAAAGCUAGGGUAGCGAACGGGAUUAGAUACCCCGGUAGUCCUAGCCGUAAACGAUGGAUACUAGGUGUGGGAGGUAUCGACCCCUUCCGUGCCUGAGUUAACGCAAUAAGUAUCCCGCCUGGGGAGUACGGCCGCAAGGUUGCAACUCAAAUGAAUUGACGG
This 926-nucleotide ribosomal RNA is filed under the name uncultured Bacteroidota bacterium. RNAcentral describes it as "bacterial SSU rRNA". It matches the Rfam family "Bacterial small subunit ribosomal RNA", at positions 13 to 916 of the family's 1533-position model. Lineage: Bacteria; Pseudomonadati; Bacteroidota. The record is from RNAcentral.